GACGAACGCUGGCAGCGUGCUUAACACAUGCAAGUCGAGCGGUAAGGCCCUUUCGGGGGUACACGAGCGGCGAACGGGUGAGUAACACGUGGGUGACCUGCCCUCAGCUCUGGGAUAAGCCUGGGAAACCGGGUCUAAUACCGGAUAUGACUCCAUGACGCAUGUUGUGGGGUGGAAAGCCUUGUGCGGCUGAGGAUGGGCCCGCGGCCUAUCAGCUUGUUGGUGGGGUGAGGCCUACCAAGGCGACGACGGGUAGCCGGCCUGAGAGGGCGACCGGCCACACUGGGACUGAGACACGGCCCAGACUCCUACGGGAGGCAGCAGUGGGGAAUCUUGCGCAAUGGGCGAAAGCCUGACGCAGCGACGCCGCGUGAGGGAUGACGGCCUGGU
This 390-nucleotide ribosomal RNA is filed under the name uncultured bacterium. RNAcentral describes it as "bacterial SSU rRNA". It matches the Rfam family "Bacterial small subunit ribosomal RNA", at positions 28 to 420 of the family's 1533-position model. The record is from RNAcentral.